GGCGGUGGCGACGACUGCUGGCGGGAGGAUCCGGCGCAGGGCUUCUGUGUGGGAACCGUGAAAGAAGAAAGGGAAAAACAGUAAGGUUUUUUUUUUUUUUUUUUUGUCUCUGGUGAAAACACAGACCGAGAGAGAGGAAGGUUUGGAUGCGGGUGGCUGUCGAUCUGGGUCUUCACAGACUCGGCAGUGUACCCCCUUUUUUUUUUUUUUUGAACAGACUGACAGAGGGAAAGAGGCCUGUUCUUGUUGUUGAUGGUAACCGAGGGAAAGAAAAAAAAAACUGUUGAUGGAUCGCGGCUUUGGCAAUAGAAGCAAAACCGAUAGCUCUGAUACCAAGUUGAUG
RNAcentral lists this long non-coding RNA (343 nucleotides) under Phoenix dactylifera (date palm). Its description in RNAcentral is "long non-coding RNA (PDAC_LNC014424)". The record is from RNAcentral. Lineage: Eukaryota; Viridiplantae; Streptophyta; Magnoliopsida; Arecales; Arecaceae.